Molecule: long non-coding RNA, 1042 nt
Filed under: Cricetulus griseus (Chinese hamster)
Lineage: Eukaryota; Metazoa; Chordata; Mammalia; Rodentia; Cricetidae
Description: lncRNA (ENSCGRG00015037442.1)
Source: RNAcentral
GAGGAUUCUGGGAAAUGUAGUAAAAAGAAGUCUUGUGAUACAGACAGGAAGUGACAUAGCAGGCAGACUCAUAUAUAAGCAGGACAAACAGGAAGUCAUCCUCUUGCUCUUCCUCCUGCUCUCCUCUCUAUGGAGCCACCAUGUGAUCCCAGGAAGAGGACAUCAGCAGAAAGCAUCCUCAGGGAAAGCCAAACUACAGAGGGCCUAACUCACGCAUGAAAGGAAGAACUGAAGUAGGAUGGAAGCAUGUGGCAGGUUUCUCCAUCACAGUUUCUGUCUUGAUUUUGUAAGAAGAACAAUUCCAGAGUUUAAAAGAGCUCACAUCUUACAGGAUCAACCAAGGGUGAUGGUAGAACAUGAAGACUUCUUAUCUAUUUGGUUAGGCUCUUCAAAGCAGCAAGGAAAGAGUGCAUGCACCUGGAUCCUCCUCGCCAAUAAGGAAACCCAGAGUGCCAUCUCUUUAAGUGAGACACGUAUCAGAACAUGGCAUCGACCCCAGAAAUUGCACAGAGCCAGAGUGUCCCCAGCAUCAACACCUUUCAGGAGAGAAACUGAAUUCAUUUGCCAACAACCAACUCCAUCGGACAGUGCCAGAAAGUACGGGACUGCUUGCGUUCAUUUCUUCGAGAUGAGUCAGGGUUGCAGGGUGUCGAUGAUUAGAUGUAAAUGUUAAACCAAAAGCCCAUGGUGGUCACUUUGGCUUUCCUUCUGUGGAAAUCCAGCUUCUCACUUGGGGGGAAGGGGUUGUGUUACAUGUGAUAUUGGCAUGUUGCUCUGGUUUCCUGAAGCCCCCAUUUUUUGGGUCUCUCUGUGCCCUUCCCAUAUACACAAACACAUUUUCAGGUAAAACAUCUGGAAGGUCCUAUUUCAAAAGAGCAUGGCCAAGAAAAUCUUUCCAUUUGUAAAAAUAAUGUAAACCCUUUAGACUGUAAUGUCCUGCAGAGCAGGGGAAUUAUACAACAGCAAUAAAAUUGUCAGCUUUCAAUAAUCAGCCACAUUUUUUAUGGUAUUUUGUCACUGGGAAAGCACUUUUUAAUAAUCA